This 1145-nucleotide ribosomal RNA is filed under the name Rhodanobacter glycinis. Its description in RNAcentral is "bacterial SSU rRNA". It matches the Rfam family "Bacterial small subunit ribosomal RNA", at positions 45 to 1158 of the family's 1533-position model. Lineage: Bacteria; Pseudomonadati; Pseudomonadota; Gammaproteobacteria; Lysobacterales; Rhodanobacteraceae. The record is from RNAcentral.
UGCUACCAUGCAGUCGAACGGCAGCACAGCAGAGCUUGCUCUGUGGGUGGCGAGUGGCGGACGGGUGAGUAAUGCAUCGGGACCUACCCAGACGUGGGGGAUAACGUAGGGAAACUUACGCUAAUACCGCAUACGUCCUACGGGAGAAAGCGGGGGACCUUCGGGCCUCGCGCGGUUGGAUGGACCGAUGUUCGAUUAGCUAGUUGGUAGGGUAAUGGCCUACCAAGGCGACGAUCGAUAGCUGGUCUGAGAGGAUGAUCAGCCACACUGGGACUGAGACACGGCCCAGACUCCUACGGGAGGCAGCAGUGGGGAAUAUUGGACAAUGGGCGCAAGCCUGAUCCAGCAAUGCCGCGUGUGUGAAGAAGGCCUUCGGGUUGUAAAGCACUUUUAUCAGGAGCGAAAUACUAUCGGUUAAUAACCGGUGGGGCUGACGGUACCUGAGGAAUAAGCACCGGCUAACUUCGUGCCAGCAGCCGCGGUAAUACGAAGGGUGCAAGCGUUAAUCGGAAUUACUGGGCGUAAAGGGUGCGUAGGCGGUUAGUUAAGUCUGUUGUGAAAUCCCCGGGCUCAACCUGGGAAUGGCAAUGGAUACUGGCUAGCUAGAGUGUGUCAGAGGAUGGUGGAAUUCCCGGUGUAGCGGUGAAAUGCGUAGAGAUCGGGAGGAACAUCAGUGGCGAAGGCGGCCAUCUGGGACAACACUGACGCUGAAGCACGAAAGCGUGGGGAGCAAACAGGAUUAGAUACCCUGGUAGUCCACGCCCUAAACGAUGCGAACUGGAUGUUGGUCUCAACUCGGAGAUCAGUGUCGAAGCUAACGCGUUAAGUUCGCCGCCUGGGGGAGUACGGUCGCAAGACUGAAACUCAAAGGAAUUGACGGGGGCCCGCACAAGCGGUGGAAGUAUGUGGUUUAAUUCGAUGCAACGCGAAGAACCUUACCUGGCCCUUGACAUGUCCGGAAUCCAGCAGAGAAUGCAGGAGUGCCUUCGGGAAUCGGAAACACAGGUGCUUGCAUGGCUGUCGUUCAGCCUCGUGUCGUGAAGAUGGUUGGGGUUAAGUCCCCGCAACGAAGCGGCAACCCUUUGGUCCUUAGUUUGCCAGCAACCGUAAUGGGUGGGGAAACUCUUAAGGAAAACUGGCCGGUG